Long non-coding RNA from Salvia splendens (bonfire salvia), 598 nucleotides. RefSeq lists it as uncharacterized. Lineage: Eukaryota; Viridiplantae; Streptophyta; Magnoliopsida; Lamiales; Lamiaceae. The record is from RefSeq and is a predicted model, not a curated record. The transcript has 2 exons.
CUUCCACCACAUGUAUCAUCUACUCUCUCUCUCUCACCUAAUCACUAUUCACCUUCUCCCUCAAUUGCACACAAAACUUCCCCCAAAUCAGAACUUUCGCCGCCUCACCCAAAUUCACACCUCGAGACGUCGACCAGCCAUCCCUCCGACGCCACCAUCGCACCGCAGUCGGCGUGUUUUCCUCCAUGUCAUCUCUCUCUUCACCGCACUGCCGCCUCUGCCACGAAUCUGCCGUCGCGGAUCCGCCGUCGUCGACUCCUCCCUCCAUCAUCUUCUCCUCUCCAUUCCUCUCUCUCGGCUCCCCCCUCUCUCUUCUCUCUCUCUCUGAUCUGCCGCCGCCGACCGAUUGUGCAUGCACAGUCGGCGGCUUCGGCCUCCUUCUUACCACGCCGGAGCAGCUUCCCGUCGGCUCCACGGCUACUGCCUCCUCAUCUGAGGCCACUACCGUCGCCAUUUCGCCGACUUCCGAGAAGGGCUAAAAUCUUACCUAUAUGCAUAUGUGGAAAGAACGAAAGAAAAAAAAAGGAAAAACUUAUGUUGUUGUUACUUACCUUUUAAUAUGUGAAGGAAAAGACUUCACUGCAAUUUUCCACUGUGA